AAGAGAUCCAGGGACGAGUGGAAAAACGCGAGCCACUGAUUUUUGGGAGCACCACAGCUCAGAGAUUAAAUCGGCGGCUGCCGGUUGAGGUCAUCAGUGAUCCUUUAAGUGAUGGAGAGAGUGACCUCUAUGAGGUUGGGACCGACAUGCAGAAGCAGCUCAGAAACCAUCAGGUCAAUGAUGGCAGAUUGCGUACCGCUGGUGAGGCUUCUCAACGGAGUACUAAAGAGGAUUGGGCAGAGUGGAUGAGACAUUUCAGCAUUGAACUUUUGAAAGAAUCACCUAGUCCAGCAUUAAGAACAUGUGCAAGACUGGCUCAACUACAGCCUUUUGUUGGGCGGGAGCUGUUUGCUGCAGGUUUUGUUAGUUGCUGGUCACAACUUAACGAGGCCAGUCAAAGGCAGCUCGUACGGAGUUUAGAAAUGGCGUUUUCUUCUCCAAAUAUCCCACCUGAAAUUCUUGCUACACUUCUGAACUUGGCGGAGUUUAUGGAACAUGAUGAGAGACCCCUUCCUAUAGAUAUCCGUCUGCUGGGUGCUCUAGCGGAGAAGUGUCGAGCAUUUGCAAAG
This 569-nucleotide unclassified non-coding RNA is filed under the name Hevea brasiliensis (rubber tree). Lineage: Eukaryota; Viridiplantae; Streptophyta; Magnoliopsida; Malpighiales; Euphorbiaceae. The record is from RNAcentral.